GACGAACGCUGGCGGCGUGCCUAAUACAUGCAAGUUGAGCGCUGAAGGUUGGUACUUGUACCAACUGGAUGAGCAGCGCACGGGUGAGUAACGCGUGGGGAAUCUGCCUUUGAGCGGGGGACAACAUUUGGAAACGAAUGCUAAUACCGCAUAAAAACUUUAAACACAAGUUUUAAGUUUGAAAGAUGCAAUUGCAUCACUCAAAGAUGAUCCCGCGUUGUAUUAGCUAGUUGGUGAGGUAAAGGCUCACCAAGGCGAUGAUACAUAGCCGACCUGAGAGGGUGAUCGGCCACAUUGGGACUGAGACACGGCCCAAACUCCUACGGGAGGCAGCAGUAGAGAAUCUUCGGCAAUGGACGAAAGUCUGACCGAGCAACGCCGCGUGAGUGAAGAAGGUUUUCGGAUCGUAAAACUCUGUUGGUAGAGAAGAACGUUGGUGAGAGUGGAAAGCUCAUCAAGUGACGGUAACUACCCAGAAAGGGACGGCUAACUACGUG
This 497-nucleotide ribosomal RNA is filed under the name uncultured bacterium. RNAcentral's name for it is "partial 16S ribosomal RNA". It matches the Rfam family "Bacterial small subunit ribosomal RNA", at positions 28 to 507 of the family's 1533-position model. The record is from RNAcentral.